This 579-nucleotide ribosomal RNA is filed under the name uncultured bacterium. RNAcentral describes it as "bacterial SSU rRNA". It matches the Rfam family "Bacterial small subunit ribosomal RNA", at positions 337 to 916 of the family's 1533-position model. The record is from RNAcentral.
UCCUACGGGAGGCAGCAGUGAGGAAUAUUGGUCAAUGGACGGAAGUCUGAACCAGCCAUGCCGCGUGCAGGAUGACUGCCCUAUGGGUUGUAAACUGCUUUUCUGAAGGAAGAAAGGUACCUACGUGUAGGUAUUUGCCGGUACUUCAGGAAUAAGGAUCGGCUAACUCCGUGCCAGCAGCCGCGGUAAUACGGAGGAUCCGAGCGUUAUCCGGAUUUAUUGGGUUUAAAGGGUGCGUAGGCGGUAUAAUAAGUCAGUGGUGAAAGUCUGUGACUCAACCAUAGAAGUGCCAUUGAAACUGUUAUACUUGAGUAUAGAUGAGGUAUGCGGAAUGUGUAAUGUAGCGGUGAAAUGCUUAGAUAUUACACAGAACACCGAUUGCGAAGGCAGCAUACUAAGCUAUAACUGACGCUGAUGCACGAAAGCGUGGGUAGCGAACAGGAUUAGAUACCCUGGUAGUCCACGCCGUAAACGAUGAUCACUCGUUGUUGGCGACAUAAAGUCAGUGACUGAGCGAAAGCAUUAAGUGAUCCACCUGGGGAGUACGUUGGCAACGAUGAAACUCAAAUGAAUUGACGG